UUGAGAAAAGUGCAGAUGAUGCACAGGGUGCACAUGUGACCGAGGUGUUCCCGCACAGUUUGUCCCCCUCGGACCGUGAACUCACCACCUCAUCAACGCAUCGGUUUGGCAAUGGGAGGCGCAGUGCGAGACUGCUGAAGCUAAAGGGCCGGUCCAGUAGCCCAACGUUACCGCACUGUAUUGAGGCUUUCAGGAGGGAGGUUUACUAACGUUCCACACCACACUCUUCUAGUUGGCCUCCUUUACACUCUCCCCCUUAAACCUCACUCCCAUCUGGGUCAGGGCACCACUGUGACCGAGGUGUUCCCGGGCACUCAACACCUAGUGGCACAAUGGAUAGUACCACCAUCUCGUCCUGUGUAUUACAAAUCUGAAUAUCUGGAAGCAUCCAGUGACUGCAGAGAAAGGUCAGCUGACAACAUGGGAAAGACCGUGUGACGGCAUGGAGAGACAGCUGACUGGAGGGAAUAGACCCCACUGGGGCUGCCAUGGGCCAGCUACCCAUGGCGGCAGGCUCUGACGGUUAUUACAGUUGCUGGAGCCACCCGCCAAAUGCUAUGGAAAGUGAACAAAGAAAGAUACCCCUGGAGCCUGCGAGAGCGGGGGCGCAAGAUGGCUCAAUGACUGAUAACACGGCUACAGACCUAGGAAAGGAAAGGACUAUGAUUACGAAUAAGACACAUGAGGCAACCACAGUAGCAGCAGGACACACACUCCAAAUUUGCACCUAUGGAUGGACAAAGGUAACAUCAUGGAGACCGCCUAUGGAGAGGAAGACCAAGGGGCACAAACCAAGAGUGAGGUGGCCUAAAGCUGCAGAAAAGAGAGUGGGAAACAGUCAAUCACGUCCUGGUAACAUCUUGAGGCAACAAAACUGAAGAGAAUAGUUCAGCGGACAAGAUCAGCAUCAGCCCAGGGGCUGAAUGGGGUGCCAUAUAAGUUCUACAAGAUCUCCCCGGAUGUUCUCCGCUAUCUUGGGGAACUGAUGAGAGUAGUGUGGCAAAACGGGAUAAUCCCCUAGGCUUGGCGAAGGGCUGGAGGUGUACUCAUAAAGUAUGGGGUCAGUUCCAAGUCUUACUCAGGGGAGUGGACGCACCUGCCGUGCAUAGUCCCUUGGACUUGUAAUUGGGCAUAGGACACAAGCUGGGGCUUGAUCACCCUGUAGCUGGCCACCUUUGAUGAGGGUGUCUAGUGUCGAAAGGCCGAAACACCCCCUGAUUCAAAGGCACACUAACGAUGUGUCCUAAAUUGACAAGGUACCAUCAAGGAAACUCAUGUGACUCAACACCUAAUGGCAUAAUGGAGAGUAACACCAUCUCUGUGUUUUAUGAAUCUGGAAAGGACUGCAAGAGGGUGCCAAAGAAGCAGAAUAUGGGUGACGCUUGCCGGUUUGAUGACCUGAAGACAACUGCAGAUCAUGCGCAGGAUGAACAACAAGAGUUGGUGGUCGAGGAACAGAUAUAAACAUGAGAGGUAGAGAAGAGAAGCGGGAUCGGCUACAGGAAAGUGCAGAGGACAGAUAAAAUGAAAUAUAGAAGAGCUGAAAAAUAAGCACUGGAAAGGACCAAGAGAGGACAAGCAUUGCUAGUGACCAGCUGGCUAUCUCAGAGUUCCCCUGUUCUCACCUGGACCCCUUAUGGAGCGCACAUGCACCUCCAUUACGGAAAUCAGGGCUGCUGACAGCUUUGGCUGGGACCGGGAUAGUCACCAAAAGCCCCCUCGAUUGAGUCCCUGACUGAUAUGAUAGGCCUAAAUAAAGAGAACAUCAUUCAUGAA
Molecule: long non-coding RNA, 1776 nt
Organism: Engraulis encrasicolus (European anchovy)
Lineage: Eukaryota; Metazoa; Chordata; Actinopteri; Clupeiformes; Engraulidae
Exons: 3
Source: RefSeq, a predicted model, not a curated record